Long non-coding RNA from Oncorhynchus nerka (sockeye salmon), 2709 nucleotides. RefSeq lists it as uncharacterized. Lineage: Eukaryota; Metazoa; Chordata; Actinopteri; Salmoniformes; Salmonidae. The record is from RefSeq and is a predicted model, not a curated record. The transcript is spliced from 3 exons.
UGUCAUGAGCCGCCAGAGUCUCCCGCCUGUCCAGAGCCGCCAGAGUCUCCCGUCUGUCCAGAGCCGCCAGAGUCUCCCGCCUGUCAUGAGCCGCCAGAGUCUCCCGCCUGUCAUGAGCCGCCAGAGUCUCCCGCCUGUCAUGAGCCGCCAGAGUCUCCCGCCUGUCAUGAGCCGCCAGAGUCUCCCGCCUGUCAUGAGCCGCCAGAGUCUCCCGACAGUCAUGAGCCGCCAGAGUCUCCCGUCUGUCAUGAGCCGCCAGAGUCUCCCGUCUCUGUCUCUCCCUCACACAGAGAGCAGCAGACGGGGUAUAGAUAGAUAGAGACAGUGGAACUCCCUGUAGUCUGUCUCUCUCUGUCUCUCCCUGUCUCUCUCUGUCUCUCUCUGUCUCUCCCUCACACAGAGAGCAGCAGACGGGGUAUAGAUAGAUAGAUGAGAGAGUGGGAGUCCCUGUAGUCUGUCUCUCUCUGUCUCUGUCUCUCCCUCACUCAGAGAGCAGCAGACAGGAUAUAGAUAGAUAGAUGAGACAGUGGAACUCCCUGUAGUCUGUCUCUCUCUGUCUCUCCCUCACACAGAGAGCAGCAGACAGGGUAUAGAUAGAUAGAUGAGACAGUGGGACUCCCUGUAGUCUGUCUCUCUCUGUCUCUCCCUCACACAGAGAGCAGCAGACAGGGUAUAGAUACAUAGAUGAGACAGUGGGACUCCCUGUAGUCUGUCUCUCUCUGUCUCUCCCUCACACAGAGAGCAGCAGACAGGGUAUAGAUAGAUAGAUGAGACAGUGGAACUCCCUGUAGUCUGUCUGUCUCUGUCUCUCCCUGUCUCUCCCUCACACAGAGACCAGCAGACAGGAUAUAGAUAGAUAGAUGAGACAGUGGAACUCCCUGAUCUGACAUUUUAAUAGUCAUUACGUUUUGGAACAAAGCAAAUGUUUUUCUCAUGUUGACUUUCAUAUGAGACAAAAAUAAUGGUGUUCCCGGAAAAAAGGUCCAGUCGCCACAAAUACAAAUUCCAUCUAGACACCGUUGCCAUGGAGCACACAAGAAACUAUACAUACCUCGGCCUAAACAUCAGCGCCUCAGGUAACUUCCACAGAGAUGUGAACGAUCUGAGAGACAAGGCAAGUGAAGGACAGACACCAUUGUAAAUACAACCCAUAUUUCUGUUUAUUUAUUUUCCCUUUUGUACUUUAACUUGUAAAUACAACCCAUAUUUAUGUUGAUUUAUUUUCCCUUUUGUUCUUUAACUUGUAAAUACAACCCAUAUUUAUGUUGAUUUAUUUUCCCUUUUGUUCUUUAACUUGUAAAUACAACCCAUAUUUAUGUUGAUUUAUUUCCCCUUGUGUACUUUAACUAUAUGCACAUCAUUACAACACUGUAUAUAUAAAAAUAGUAUUACAUUUGAAAUGUCUGUGAGUGUAAUGUUUACUGUUCAUUGGUUAUGUUGACUUGUUAUUGUUUAUUUCACUUUUGUUUAUUAUCUACUUCACUUGCUUUGGCAAUGUUAACAUACGUUUCCCAUGACAAUAAGGCCCUUGGGGGAGGAGAGAGAGAGAUGGGAUGUCACAGAAGAUCAGGGGCCUGUUGCACAAAAGUAGAAUUAAGACAUCCGGGAUAAAUGACUCAGCUGAGCUCAAUGAAGCCAAAACAUGUGCGUCCAGGCUUAAUUGGUUGCACAAAGACCAAGCCAGGAUGAGCAGACACGGAUUCAUUAAGCCAGGUGAAACCAAUCCUGGAUAGGUGCGCGCUCACGGCUCACUCAAAUAGACCCCGCCACAGAUCACAGAUUAACUGAUUUACCAUGGCAACUAGAGCCGCGUACUUUUCCCCGUCGGAAGCACAAAUCCUCAUGGAGGCAUACGAGGAGGUAAAAGAUAUAAUUAAGAAGAAAGGCAACACCGCCACAGUGAUAAAGCAAAGAGAAAAAGCGUGGCAAAGUAUUGCAGACCUCCUGAAUGCGUAAGUAGUGCACAAUUACACACUCACCGCUCCGCUGAAACAUCACAAUUACAAUUCAAAUAUUUAAUUCACAUCUCCAAAAAUGCAGUUGUACUGUAAUUAUGAAACGGUUAAAUUUUUAAUUGAAAUGCACUGCAGAUAUGAGUGAAAUUGUGUAAAGUAACUCCAUCACACUGUAUAAAGCUAUGAUACAUUUUUUGAUAUUUUUACUGAAAACAAGACAAAAAUACCAAGUAAUUUUUUGCAGUGUGACUCCAUUAAAUGUGUGUGUGUGUGUGUGUAGAUUAAACAUGAACGGGCCAAAACGGACAUGGCAGCAGGUCAAAAUCAAAUACAAGAACAUUCUGCAGAAUGCAGUGAAAAAGAAUACCCACAGACAAGGCACGGGUGGUGGGUCACCAAAGGCUGACCUUACCCCAGCAGAGGACAUGGCCUUGGAGCUAAAUAAAGGCAGGCCCGUCUUAGAGGGGAUCCCUGGGGGGAAAGAGACGAGCAUAGGUUCCUCCCAAGAUGCCACCCGCUUCAUUCAAGUGCCUGGCAGCACUGUGUUCCUGUUAGAGCCACCAGCACAAGCACCAGACGAUGCUGAUCCAGUGAGUACUCCAUCAAAGGCAUACUGUAGGCCUGGCAUGUCUUGUCUACUAGCUUCAAUAUGAAUCCGAUUAAAUGUGAUAGGGUGAAGGCCCCAGUGCAGCAGCAACAGCACAUGAUGGAGACGAUGAUGAGGAGGAGACCAUCUCUCUGGAUUCCAGAAGGC